This 729-nucleotide long non-coding RNA is filed under the name Serinus canaria (Common canary). RNAcentral describes it as "lncRNA (ENSSCAG00000011868.1)". Lineage: Eukaryota; Metazoa; Chordata; Aves; Passeriformes; Fringillidae. The record is from RNAcentral.
UGGGAGGCUGAGCAAGUAAUCACAUGUUGAGGAUGAAGGGAGUAGUUGUCUGCUAGCACUGUGUACAGAGUUGAGAGAUUGCUCAUGACCAUGGCAAAGUCCUGUAGCAGGUUGGGGGUGGUGGAGGAAUGUCAAGAUUUCUCAGGCUUUUUAUUGCUGUGACAAGAGAAUUGCCCCUGAGGAGCUUUCCUCAUCUACCCGCUUCAGGAGUUUGGAGGAGAGGAACAAAUGUCUGCACAGAAGUGGGGCAGUGAGAGAUGCUUUGCUGGUUACCCCUGGUGGGGUGAAGGCAGAAUGCUUACACUACCUUUACUGCCAUGUACUUUGCUAGACGCUUCCACAAACUCGGUCUCUAUGCAGGAAGGAGGAAUGGGCUGGUGCCUUCAGGACUGCGUGGGUAUACCUCUUUAAUUGGAAGGGAAUCCUCACAAAGGGAAUCUGAUUCAUUUUACUCUCACUCCUAAUGCAUCUGGCGGUAGACUUGCCUCAAGAACCAAAUGAAUCUUGAGCUGCUAUUACAUAUUGGAUCCCCCAUAUGAUUUGAAUUCACAUCCCUCAGGGAGGGGAGACUCUGUGGAUAACAGUAAGUGCACACAAACCAGCAGCUCUGAGAUCAGGGCUGAAUGCCAGAUCUGCUGUGGUCACUGAGUGUCACAUAUUCUAGCUCUUAUAUAGAUUAUAAUAAUUUCUGUCAAAUAAAUUUUCCUUUCUUAUAUUGUUGUUUAUACA